RNA transcript from Jaculus jaculus (lesser Egyptian jerboa), 7679 nucleotides. It is a transcript of the gene named DnaJ heat shock protein family (Hsp40) member C13, with no coding region annotated. The transcript is spliced from 57 exons. The record is from RefSeq and is a predicted model, not a curated record. Lineage: Eukaryota; Metazoa; Chordata; Mammalia; Rodentia; Dipodidae.
GGCACGGAGGCCGAGCUGUGGACGCGGAGCCGGCGGCGGCGGCGGCGGCGGCGGGAGGAGCCUCUGCAGCCUCCCGCGAAGGUUUCAGCACAAAAUGAACAUAAUUAGGGAAAAUAAGGAUUUGGCAUGUUUCUACACAACAAAACAUUCAUGGAGGGGAAAGUAUAAGCGUGUCUUUUCCAUUGGAACCCAUGCGAUUACUACAUACAAUCCCAAUACCUUAGAAGUAACAAAUCAGUGGCCUUAUGGAGACAUUUGCAGCGUCAGUCCUGUUGGAAAAGGACAAGGAACAGAGUUCAACCUCACAUUUCGUAAAGGCAGUGGGAAAAAGUCUGAAACGUUAAAAUUUUCUACAGAGCACAGGACAGAACUUCUUACAGAAGCAUUGAGAUUUAGAACUGACUUUUCAGAGGGAAAAAUCACAGGAAGGAGAUAUAACUGCUAUAAGCAUCAUUGGAGUGACACAAGAAAACCUGUGAUUUUGGAAGUAACUCCUGGUGGCUUUGACCAGAUAAAUCCUGCAACCAACAGAGUGCUCUGUUCUUAUGACUAUAGAAAUAUUGAAGGCUUUGUAGAUCUCUCUGAUUAUCCAGGAGGGUUUUGCAUACUCUAUGGAGGAUUUAGUAGAUUGCAUUUAUUUGCAUCAGAGCAAAGAGAAGAGAUUAUCAAAAGUGCAAUAGACCAUGCUGGCAACUACAUAGGUAUUUCAUUGCGGAUCAGGAAAGAACCUUUAGAAUUUGAGCAAUAUUUGAAUCUUCGCUUUGGAAAAUACAGCACUGAUGAAUCCAUCACAUCUCUAGCAGAGUUUGUGGUCCAAAAAAUAUCUCCAAGACAUGCGGAACCUGUUAAAAGAGUUCUAGCACUAACAGAAACGUGUUUAGUAGAGCGAGAUCCAGCAACCUAUAAUAUUGCAACAUUGAAGCCUUUAGGAGAAGUAUUUGCAUUGGUUUGUGACUCAGAAAAUCCCCAAGUUUUUACCAUCGAGUUUAUAAAAGGACAAGUUCGAAAAUACUCUUCAACAGAAAGAGAUUCUUUGUUAGCAAGUUUGCUGGAUGGAGUAAGAGCCUCUGGUAACAGAGAUGUUUGUGUAAAAAUGUCAUCGACCCAUAAAGGUCAGCGAUGGGGGUUGCUCAGCAUGCCUGUUGAUGAGGAAGUGGAGAGCCUUCACCUCAGAUUCUUAGCCGCCCCUCCGAAUGGCAACUUUGCAGAUGCUGUAUUCAGGUUCAAUGCUAAUAUUUCAUACAGUGGAGUUCUACACGCAGUAACACAAGAUGGACUCUUCUCAGAAAACAAAGAAAAACUGAUCAACAAUGCCAUCACGGCAUUGUUGUCCCAAGAGGGGGAUGUCGUUGCUUCAAAUGCAGAACUUGAGAGUCAGUUCCAAGCUGUGAGGAGACUUGUGGCUUCCAAAGCUGGGUUUUUGGCCUUCACUCAGCUUCCGAAGUUUCGGGAGCGCCUGGGGGUGAAGGUAGUAAAAGCCCUCAAGAGGAGCAACAAUGGAGUCAUCCACGCCGCUGUUGAUAUGCUUUGUGCUCUUAUGUGUCCCAUGCAUGAUGACUAUGACUUAAGACAAGAACAGCUAAACAAAGCUUCUCUUCUCUCUUCAAAGAAGUUUCUGGAAAACUUGCUGGAGAAAUUUAAUUCCCAUGUGGAUCAUGGGACUGGUGCCCUCGUAAUUAGUUCACUCUUGGACUUCCUUACCUUUGCCCUCUGUGCUCCGUAUAGUGAGACAACGGAAGGGCAGCAGUUUGACAUGCUCUUAGAGAUGGUAGCCUCCAAUGGAAGAACCCUCUUUAAGCUCUUUCAGCAUCCUUCUAUGGCAAUUAUUAAAGGAGCUGGAUUGGUCAUGAAGGCAAUAAUAGAGGAAGGUGACAAAGAAAUUGCUACAAAAAUGCAGGAGCUUGCCCUAAGUGAAGGUGCCUUACCUCGACACUUGCACACCGCGAUGUUUACAAUAAGCUCAGAUCAGAGAAUGCUUACAAAUAGACAGCUAAGUAGACAUUUAGUGGGCCUCUGGACAGCUGAUAAUGCAACCGCGACAAACUUGUUGAAACGCAUUUUGCCACCAGGCUUGUUGGCAUACCUGGACAGCUCAGAUCCAGUCCCCGAGAAGGAUGCUGAUCGCAUGCAUGUUAGAGACAAUGUGAAAAUAGCAAUGGAUCAAUAUGGAAAAUUUAAUAAAGUUCCAGAAUGGCAAAGACUAGCUGGAAAAGCUGCUAAAGAAGUUGAAAAAUUUGCCAAAGAAAAAGUGGAUCUUGUAUUGAUGCAUUGGAGGGAUAGGAUGGGCAUUGCUCAAAAAGAGAAUAUAAACCAAAAGCCAGUAGUACUUCGAAAAAGAAGACAAAGAAUAAAAAUUGAAGCAAAUUGGGAUCUCUUCUAUUAUAGGUUUAGUCAAGACCAUGCUAGAUCAAACCUUAUUUGGAAUUUCAAAACACGAGAAGAACUGAAAGAUACUCUUGAAUCUGAAAUGAGAACGUUUAAUAUUGAUAGAGAACUUGGUAGUGCUAAUGUGAUCUCCUGGAACCACCAUGAAUUUGAGGUUAAGUAUGAGUGCCUGGCAGAAGAAAUUAAAAUAGGAGACUAUUACCUGAGAUUACUAUUGGAGGAGGAUGAGAAUGAGGAAUGCGGAUCAAUUAAGAGAUCGUAUGAAUUUUUCAAUGAAUUGUAUCAUCGCUUCUUGCUCACUCCAAAAGUAAACAUGAAGUGUUUAUGUUUACAAGCCCUUGCUAUUGUUUAUGGCAGAUGCCAUGAAGAAAUAGGACCCUUCACAGAUACGAGAUACAUCAUUGGAAUGCUGGAGAGGUGUACAGAUAAACUUGAACGAGAUAGGUUGAUUCUCUUCCUAAACAAGUUGAUCCUAAAUAAGAACAAUGUUAAGGAUCUCAUGGAUUCAAAUGGAAUUAGAAUUCUUGUGGACUUGCUAACCCUUGCACAUCUUCACGUGAGCCGAGCUACAGUGCCACUGCAAAGCAAUGUCAUUGAGGCUUCUCCAGAUAUGAAAAGAGAAAGUGAGAAGGAAUGGUAUUUUGGCAAUGCAGACAAAGAAAGGAGUGGUCCAUAUGGAUUUCAUGAGAUGCAAGAAUUGUGGACCAAAGGAAUGUUAAAUGCAAAAACCAGAUGCUGGGCUCAAGGCAUGGAUGGAUGGCGACCACUUCAGGCGAUACCUCAGCUUAAGUGGUGUCUGUUAGCCAGUGGACAGGCUGUCCUGAAUGAAACUGACCUUGCUACUCUUAUAUUGAACAUGUUGAUUACAAUGUGUGGAUAUUUUCCAAGCAGGGAUCAGGAUAAUGCCAUCAUUCGUCCUUUACCCAGAGUGAAAAGACUGCUGUCCGAUAGCACCUGCCUUCCCCACAUUAUUCAGCUACUGCUGACCUUCGACCCCAUCCUUGUUGAGAAGGUUGCUAUCUUAUUGUAUCAUAUUAUGCAAGAUAAUCCACAGUUACCUCGCCUUUAUCUGAGUGGAGUGUUUUUCUUUAUCAUGAUGUACACAGGUUCCAAUGUGCUUCCUGUUGCUCGGUUUUUGAAAUACACACAUACCAAGCAAGCUUUCAAAUCUGAGGAGAAUAAAGGACAAGACAUUUUUCAGAGAAGUAUACUUGGACACAUCCUGCCUGAAGCAAUGGUUUGUUACCUAGAAAAUUAUGAACCUGAAAAGUUUUCUGAGAUCUUUCUAGGAGAAUUUGAUACUCCAGAAGCAAUCUGGAGUAGUGAAAUGAGGCGCCUCAUGAUAGAGAAGAUUGCCGCCCAUCUUGCUGACUUCACACCUCGUCUUCAGAGUAAUACACGAGCACUCUAUCAGUAUUGUCCCAUCCCAGUUAUUAAUUACCCACAGCUAGAAAAUGAACUCUUUUGUAAUAUUUAUUACCUCAAACAACUUUGUGAUGCACUCCGGUUUCCAGAUUGGCCAAUUAAAGACCCAGUUAAGCUUCUAAAAGAUACUCUAGAUGCCUGGAAGAAGGAAGUAGAAAAGAAGCCACCUACAAUGUCUGUAGAUGAUGCUUAUGAAGUGCUUAACUUGCCUCAAGGCCAGGGAUCGCACGAUGAAAGCAAAAUCAGAAAAGCUUACUUCCGGCUUGCACAGAAGUACCAUCCUGACAAGAACCCUGAAGGAAGGGAUAUGUUUGAAAAAGUAAAUAAAGCAUAUGAAUUUUUAUGUACCAAGUCAACAAAAGUAGUGGAUGGACCAGAUCCUGAGAAUAUCAUUUUAAUCCUAAAGACACAGAGCAUCCUCUUCAACCGUCAUAAAGAAGAUUUACAGCCUUAUAAAUAUGCAGGAUACCCUAUGCUAAUUAGGACGAUAACCAUGGAGACUUCAGAUGACCUCCUUUUCUCAAAAGAGUCACCACUGUUGCCUGCAGCUGCAGAGCUGGCUUUCCACACUGUCAACUGUUCAGCCCUCAAUGCUGAAGAGCUCAGGAGAGAGAAUGGAAUAGAGGUGUUACAGGAGGCAUUUAGUCGCUGUGUGGCUGUCUUGAAUCGCUCUAGUAAACCAGGUGACAUGUCAGUACAGGUGUGUGGACACAUAAGUAAAUGCUACAGUGUUGCUGCACAGUUUGAAGAAUGCCGAGAGAAGAUCACAGAAAUGCCUGCUAUCAUCAAGGAUCUCUGCCGGGUGCUGUAUUUUGGCAAGAGUAUUCCUCGGGUGGCUGCUCUUGGGGUAGAAUGUGUCAGUUCAUUUGCUGUGGAUUUCUGGCUCCAGACACACCUAUUUCAAGCUGGAAUUUUGUGGCAUCUGCUUGGUUAUCUAUUUAAUUAUGACUAUACACUAGAAGAGAGUGGCAUUCAGAAAAGUGAAGAAACAAACCAGCAGGAAGUAGCCAACAGCCUUGCCAAACUCAGUGUCCAUGCUUUGAGUCGCCUUGGUGGAUAUUUGCCUGAAGACCAAGCAACCCCAGAAAACCCGACCGUAAGGAAGAGCUUAGCUGGCAUGCUGACACCCUAUGUUGCCAGAAAGCUUGCUGUGCUCAGUGCUACUGAGAUUUUGAAGGUGCUGAACAGUAACACUGAGAAUCCCUACUUGAUAUGGAAUAAUUCUACAAGAGCAGAACUACUUGAAUUUCUUGAAUUGCAACAAGAAAACAUGAUUAAAAAAGGUGAUUGUGACAAAACUUACGGAUCAGAAUUUGUCUACAGUGACCACGGCAAAGAGCUGAUCGUGGGUGAAGUCUUUGUCAGAGUGUACAAUGAAGCCCCUACUUUCCAGUUAGAGGUUCCAAAAGCCUUUGCUGCAAGUCUCUUGGAUUAUAUAGGCUCUCAGGCCCAGUACCUCCACACAUUCAUGGCCAUCACUCACGCUGCAAAAGUGGAGUCAGAGCAACACGGGGACCGCUUACCAAGAGUGGAAAUGGCUCUGGAGGCUCUGAGAAACGUCAUCAAAUACAACCCAGGCUCUGAAAGUGAAUGCAUCGGACACUUUAAGUUAAUAUUUUCUCUUCUUCGAGUCCAUGGAGCUGGUCAAGUACAGCAGCUGGCUUUAGAGGUUGUGAAUAUAGUGACAUCUAACCAAGAUUGUGUCAACAACAUUGCAGAAUCAAUGGUCUUGUCCAAUUUAUUGGCUCUUCUACAUUCAUUGCCGUCAAGUCGUCAGCUGGUGCUAGAAACUCUUUAUGCCUUGGCAUCCAGUACAAAAAUAAUCAAAGAAGCAAUGGCAAAGGGAGCUUUGAUUUAUUUACUGGAUAUGUUCUGCAAUUCAACACAUCCACAGGUUCGAGCCCAGACUGCAGAACUUUUUGCCAAAAUGACAGCAGAUAAACUAAUAGGUCCUAAGGUUCGAAUCACACUCAUGAAAUUUCUGCCUAGCGUUUUCAUGGAUGCUAUGAGAGAUAACCCUGAGGCUGCGGUGCAUAUCUUUGAAGGAACUCAUGAAAAUCCUGAGUUGAUCUGGAAUGAUAGUUCUAGGGAUAAAGUGUCUACCACAGUGAGGGAGAUGAUGCUAGAGCACUUUAAAAAUCAACGAGACAACCCUGAUGUAAACUGGAAGUUGCCUGAAGAUUUUGCUGUGGUGUUUGGAGAAGCAGAGGGUGAACUUGCUGUUGGAGGCGUGUACUUGAGGAUCUUUAUUGCACAACCAGCUUGGGUUCUAAGAAAGCCCAGAGAAUUUCUUAUUGCCCUGUUGGAAAAGUUAACUGAGCUCCUGGAGAAGAACAGUCCUCACGGCGAAACUCUGGAAACUUUGACAAUGGCAACAGUGUGUCUCUUCAAUGCCCAACCUCAGCUGGCCGAUCAAGUGCCACCACUGGGCCAUCUUCCCAAAGUUAUCCAGGCCAUGAAUCACAGGAACAAUGCCAUUCCAAAGAGUGCCAUUCGGGUGAUUCAUGCCCUGUCUGACAAUGAGCUGUGUGUUCGCACAAUGGCAUCUUUGGAGACAAUUGGUCCACUGAUGAAUGGAAUGAAAAAGCGAGCAGAUACUGUUGGUCUUGCCUGUGAAGCAAUUAAUCGAAUGUUUCAGAAGGAGCAGAGUGAAUUAGUAGCUCAGGCUCUGAAAGCAGAUUUGGUCCCGUACCUCUUAAGAUUGCUUGAAGGCAUAGGUCUUGAAAAUCUCGAUAGCCCUGCCGCCACGAAGGCUCAGAUUGUUAAAGCUCUCAAGGCAAUGACGCGAAGCCUGCAGUAUGGAGAACAGGUGAAUGAAAUCCUCUCUCGUUCUUCAGUCUGGAGUGCCUUCAAAGACCAGAAACAUGAUUUGUUCAUUUCUGACACACAAACAGCAGGAUACCUCACAGGUGUCUCUCCUUCCCUUCUAACUGGCAGCAGCCCCCUUCACCUCAGGAGUGGGCUUUAGAUCUGCUCUGCCAGGCAGCUUGCUAACUUCUGUGUAGCUCUCUGAAGCAGGACCUGGAGUUGCUGGCUACCUUACCGCAGGUACAUCAUCCUCAGUCAUGUCCAACCUGCCGCCUCCUGUAGACCAUGAGACAGGUGACCUUGGCUAUCAAACUUGAACCACUCAAGAGAGAACAGUAAAUGCUGAAAGGCCAGUUCUGCGUUCACAUUCCUCCAGCCAGUGGGUUGAAGCAAACUCUUACUGCCUUUCUCCUGGGUUCAUGACAGUGUUAUUCCUUUUUCUAUAAAUAUAUUUUUAUUUAGGAAACAAGUAGUGUCACGUUAUGAGAAAGCACUCUGGAUCAACCUAAAAGGGUACACAAGGAUGUUUGUUCUUGAUGUAUGGAAGCACAUUUUGUUCCUUUAUAUCUGUUUACAAGACUGUGAAUCAAAAUGACAACUUUCUUCCUAGUUUUUAUAGUACUUUUUUGAAUUAGUGUGACUGUAGGAUUAAGCUACAGUCUACAGACAUUGGGCUAAAUCAGUCAUCCCCAGAAAAGGACAUCUCCCUCUCCUGCAUCAAAUCUAUGUGGCCAUUUACCUCCUGGCGCCAGACACAUUAGGUUUUCGUCCUUUUACCUGUUCACUGGUAUCCUCAGUCACUAACUCUGGAGCUCAGCACACAUCAAUAUGUAUAACUGGCUUUACCAAAUUGAAUGAGGAAGAGCUUGUGCAAAAAAAAAAUUCAAAAAACUCCAAAUGGAUGUCAAAAGAUGUUAUGUAAGAGAUUAGUGUAAUUGUGAAAUGUUCUAUACAUUAUCAAAUAUAUAAAGCUUUCUAUAUUGAAUGUACAUUAUACAGAUCAUUCAUAUGUGUACAUAAAAUUUUAAAAAUAAAGGGAAUUGACUGCUUUGUUAAUGAGA